AUUCUGGCUCAGGAUGAACGCUAGCUACAGGCUUAACACAUGCAAGUCGAGGGGCAUCAUGGAGUUUGCUUGCAAACUCUGAUGGCGACCGGCGCACGGGUGAGUAACGCGUAUCCAACCUUCCCUAUAGUAGAGGAUAGCCCGGCGAAAGUCGGAUUAAUACUCUAUGUUUUCCGUUGCAGACAUCUAAGAUGGAACAAAGGCUUGCCGCUAUAGGAUGGGGAUGCGUCUGAUUAGGUAGUCGGCGGGGUAACGGCCCACCGAGCCAUCGAUCAGCAGGGGUUCUGAGAGGAAGGUCCCCCACAUUGGAACUGAGACACGGUCCAAACUCCUACGGGAGGCAGCAGUGAGGAAUAUUGGUCAAUGGGCGAGAGCCUGAACCAGCCAAGUAGCGUGCCAGGACGACGGCCCUAUGGGUUGUAAACUGCUUUUAUGCGGGGAUAAAGUUCACUACGUGUAGUGUUUUGUAGGUACCGCAUGAAUAAGGACCGGCUAAUUCCGUGCCAGCAGCAGC
RNAcentral lists this ribosomal RNA (514 nucleotides) under uncultured bacterium. RNAcentral describes it as "bacterial SSU rRNA". It matches the Rfam family "Bacterial small subunit ribosomal RNA", at positions 16 to 518 of the family's 1533-position model. The record is from RNAcentral.